RNAcentral lists this ribosomal RNA (543 nucleotides) under uncultured bacterium. RNAcentral describes it as "bacterial SSU rRNA". It matches the Rfam family "Bacterial small subunit ribosomal RNA", at positions 773 to 1319 of the family's 1533-position model. The record is from RNAcentral.
ACGUAAUAGAUACCCGGGUAGUCCACGCCCUAAACGAUGUCUACUAGUUGUCGGGUUUUAAUUAACUUGGUAACGCAGCUAAACGCGUGAAAGUAGACCGCCUGGGGAGUACGGUCGCAAGAUUAAAACUCAAAGGAAUUGACGGGGACCCGCACAAGCGGUGGAUGAUGUGGAUUAAUUCGAUGCAACGCGAAAAACCUUACCUACCCUUGACAUGGCAGGAAUCCUGAAGAGAUUUGGGAGUGCUCGAAAGAGAACCUGCACACAGGUGCUGCAUGGCUGUCGUCAGCUCGUGUCGUGAGAUGUUGGGUUAAGUCCCGCAACGAGCGCAACCCUUGUCAUUAGUUGCUACGAAAGAGCACUCUAAUGAGACUGCCGGUGACAAACCGGAGGAAGGUGGGGAUGACGUCAAGUCCUCAUGGCCCUUAUGGGUAGGGCUUCACACGUCAUACAAUGGUACAUACAGAGGGCCGCCAACCCGCGAGGGGGAGCUAAUCCCAGAAAGUGUAUCGUAGUCCGGAUUGUAGUCUGCAACUCGACUAC